This 465-nucleotide ribosomal RNA is filed under the name Vreelandella stevensii. Its description in RNAcentral is "partial 16S ribosomal RNA". It matches the Rfam family "Bacterial small subunit ribosomal RNA", at positions 338 to 795 of the family's 1533-position model. The record is from RNAcentral. Lineage: Bacteria; Pseudomonadati; Pseudomonadota; Gammaproteobacteria; Oceanospirillales; Halomonadaceae.
CCUACGGGGGGCUGCAGUGGGGAAUAUUGGACAAUGGGGUGAACCCUGAUCCAGCCAUGCCGCGUGUGUGAAGAAGGCCCUCGGGUUGUAAAGCACUUUCAGUGAGGAAGAACGCCUGGUGGUUAAUACCCAUCAGGAAAGACAUCACUCACAGAAGAAGCACCGGCUAACUCCGUGCCAGCAGCCGCGGUAAUACGGAGGGUGCGAGCGUUAAUCGGAAUUACUGGGCGUAAAGCGCGCGUAGGUGGCUUGAUAAGCCGGUUGUGAAAGCCCCGGGCUCAACCUGGGAACGGCAUCCGGAACUGUCAAGCUAGAGUGCAGGAGAGGAAGGUAGAAUUCCCGGUGUAGCGGUGAAAUGCGUAGAGAUCGGGAGGAAUACCAGUGGCGAAGGCGGCCUUCUGGACUGACACUGACACUGAGGUGCGAAAGCGUGGGUAGCAAACAGGAUUAGAUACCCUUGUAGUC